This 2012-nucleotide long non-coding RNA is filed under the name Equus caballus (horse). RNAcentral's name for it is "lncRNA (ENSECAG00000035614.3)". Lineage: Eukaryota; Metazoa; Chordata; Mammalia; Perissodactyla; Equidae. The record is from RNAcentral.
UGACAACCCCCCAUCCAGAGGAGAGUGAAAUUGCUCUCUACGAUUUGGACAGGUCAUGAAAAGCUAUCUCUAGAAAUUUUUGAAACCUUAUAUUUCAUUUCAAAAAUGAGUGCGAUUUUGCAUUUCUACCGCAAAAUAUAUCUCAGCCACAUACCGUUGGACCUAAUGUGACCAGCUGGCCCCAGGUGUGUCCAGACACACAACUUUGGACAUAUUAGGAGAAAUGAUCAGACUUCAGAAGGCCAAACCCAGCCCCUCCUGCUCUUGUGGCCGUGUCUCUUCCAGGUUUCUUGCCCUCUGUUUUUCUGGAACCCUGAGGGAUUUUACACAUGUUCCCUAAUGCUCCAUUCUCACAAGCCCGGGGUCCUCUCACCCCCUCUCACCCCUAAGUUUGUCCCUAAGUUCACUGAGUCAACAGCCUCGCAUGGGGGCAGGGUCCAGACAGCACCUCUUUCUCUUCCUGCAUUUCUUCAGGAGCCAGAAAGGGAUGGGGGUGUCUCUCCUAAAUUGUAUCAAUGUCUGGCAGCUCCGUAAGCCCUGUGUUCUGUCAUCUCAGGUCACUCUGCUGGCCUUGGGCCCCUCUCUGUCCUGCUGACCAUUCUGGUCUGGGCCCUGGGGAAAGGGCUUUCCUUUGUUGUGUCACAGAAGAGCUCCCAGCAGAGCGCAGCUUUCGCGUCUCUCCUGCAUAUCUCGGCCCUCUGCUUCCAGCAGGCAGGCUCUCCCGGACUCAGGGACUCCAUGGUCCUCCACAGCCUGGCUGUCGUCAGGGUCUCCGCUCUUUAGGUAUGUUCGUAAUGAACUCUGAUUGUGAACAAGAUUCAAAUUCUUUCCCAUGGGGCUCCUGGGUCCCAUUCAAAUCCCAACUCCUGUUAACCCUCCCCAAACACACAGUGGCCGUUCAGAAAGUGUCACUCUGAACAUAAAGACAAAGCUAGUCUUCAGGAGUGGAAGUGAGGGGCAGCUGAUAAGUCUCAGCUCUGACCCAGCCAAGACACCUUAGUGGGUGAAAGAGUCAAGAGCAUUGCUGGCUGGAGACAAGAGAUGGCGCUGUGAGCCCAACGGAAAGAGAAGGCGUGAUUAUUAUAUGUCAGCUAGGUUAGCCCGAUUUAUCUGCAGGAGAGGUUUCACGACCAGCAGCUACAACCAUGGUGACCACUGAAACACACUGUUACAUUCUCUUGGGCUUGGACUAUUUGGAGAACCAACGAUUAUUUUAGCAAGGGAAAAUGGAGCACCAUCUUCCUUCUGGAGAAUCUUUGAUGGCAUAGGUGGGACACCUGCUGUACAGCCAACAAAUCCAAAAGUCUCUCCGUGAACAAGGGAAAUUAACAACAACGUCUGCCACCGCAUUGGCUGUGAGCACUUGAAAUCUUGGCUGGUGAUUUGCUGCAAUAAGUGCAGGCCUGGGAAAAGGCUGGCACUACCAGCUAGCUUUGACAACCUGCCAGCAGCCUCCCUGCUUUGGAAAUUGUAUGACUCUGUGAAUGCUGUCUAACCGUCUGAGCCAUAGUAUGAACAUGUACUGAUGAGUACUGAAGCACGGCGGAAUCUUUACCGAAUUCAGUAUUGCCAAGACGAAAAAGGGCUACACGUUGGAGACAUUUACAUAAGAAUCUCGUUUUAUUCAAGCUCAGCAGAGCAGUCCGGGUGGAAAAAAGGAGAGCCAGACCUUGGCAGUGGCUCUGUUUACACUGUGUGCUCGAUGUCUAACUCAAAGCCUGUACAGAGGACACUCAGGAAAAAUGUGUGGAAUGACCGAAUUAAUUAGGAAUCAGAGAGGAAAAAAUUCAAAUGGCUGACCACAAGCGGGAAACACACCUACAAGAUAUCCAUCACAGCUGACAGAAGAAUGGAACAGUGAAAGGUCCUGGAGUCCAUCAUGCCUGAAGGAAAUUCCCUCCUUACUGCCCAUUUUCCCUAUGAAACUGCCUCAAGAUUCUGUAAUUUUUGAAGACAGUUUUUUUUGAGACAGUCUGCCAUCUUCUCGAUUACGCCAGCUAAUCGAAUUAAAA